Molecule: ribosomal RNA, 274 nt
Filed under: uncultured bacterium
Lineage: Bacteria
Description: partial 16S ribosomal RNA
Rfam family: Bacterial small subunit ribosomal RNA
Source: RNAcentral
AUACGAAGGGGGCAAGCGUUGUUCGGAAUAACUGGGCGUAAAGCGCACGUAGGCGGAAUGUUAAGUUAGAGGUGAAAUCCCAGGGCUCAACCCUGGAACUGCCUUUAAUACUGGCAAUCUAGAGACCGAGAGAGGUGAGUGGAAUUCCGAGUGUAGAGGUGAAAUUCGUAGAUAUUCGGAGGAACACCAGUGGCGAAGGCGGCUCACUGGCUCGGUACUGACGCUGAGGUGCGAAAGCGUGGGGAGCAAACAGCAUUAGAUACCCUAGUAGUCC